Molecule: ribosomal RNA, 460 nt
Filed under: uncultured bacterium
Lineage: Bacteria
Description: partial 16S ribosomal RNA
Rfam family: Bacterial small subunit ribosomal RNA
Source: RNAcentral
CCUACGGGAGGCAGCAGUGAGGAAUAUUGGUCAAUGGACGAAAGUCUGAACCAGCCAAGUAGCGUGAAGGAUGACUGCCCUCUGGGUUGUAAACUUCUUUUAUAUGGGAAUAAAACGUUCCACGUGUGGGAUUUUGUAUGUACCAUAUGAAUAAGGCUCGGCUAGCGCCAUGCCAGCAGCCGCGGUAAUACGGAGUAUCCGAGCGUUAUCCGGAUGGAUUGGGUGUAAAGGGAGCGUAGACGGAUGUUUAAGUCCGGUGUGAAAGUUUGCGGCUCAACCGCGAAAUUGCAGUGGAAACUGGGAGUCUGGAGUGCAGUAGAGGUGAGCGGAAUUCGUGGUGUAGCGGUGAAAUGCUUAGAUAUCACGAAGAACACCGGUGGCGAAGGCGGCUCACUGGACUGUAACUGACACUGAGGCUCGAAAGUGUGGGUAGCAAACAGGAUUAGAUACCCGUGUAGUC